Molecule: ribosomal RNA, 465 nt
Filed under: Vreelandella stevensii
Lineage: Bacteria; Pseudomonadati; Pseudomonadota; Gammaproteobacteria; Oceanospirillales; Halomonadaceae
Description: partial 16S ribosomal RNA
Rfam family: Bacterial small subunit ribosomal RNA
Source: RNAcentral
CCUACGGGCGGCUGCAGUGGGGAAUAUUGGACAAUGGGCGAAAGCCUGAUCCAGCCAUGCCGCGUGUGUGAAGAAGGCCUUCGGGUUGUAAAGCACUUUCAGUGGGGAAGAAAGCCUUGGGGCUAAUACCCGCUAGGAAGGACAUCACCCACAGAAGAAGCACCGGCUAACUCCGUGCCAGCAGCCGCGGUAAUACGGAGGGUGCGAGCGUUAAUCGGAAUUACUGGGCGUAAAGCGCGCGUAGGCGGUCUGAUAAGCCGGUUGUGAAAGCCCCGGGCUCAACCUGGGAACGGCAUCCGGAACUGGCAGGCUAGAGUGCAGGAGAGGAAGGUAGAAUUCCCGGUGUAGCGGUGAAAUGCGUAGAGAUCGGGAGGAAUACCAGUGGCGAAGGCAGCCUUCUGGACUGACACUGACGCUGAGGUGCGAAAGCGUGGGUAGCAAACAGGAUUAGAUACCCUAGUAGUC